AGCGUGCACAGGAUGGCGCAGCCAACAGGAUGUUGGUCAGGACGUCGCGGGAUGCGAUUCACCAGGAUGGUGGUGGAGUAAAGGGACGGGGACAAAGGGCGGGAUAUCCCGCCCUUUUUUCA
This 122-nucleotide small RNA is filed under the name Pseudomonas duriflava. Lineage: Bacteria; Pseudomonadati; Pseudomonadota; Gammaproteobacteria; Pseudomonadales; Pseudomonadaceae. The record is from RNAcentral.